RNAcentral lists this microRNA (21 nucleotides) under Ectocarpus siliculosus. RNAcentral describes it as "esi-miR3454e-5p". The record is from miRBase by way of RNAcentral. Lineage: Eukaryota; Phaeophyceae; Ectocarpales; Ectocarpaceae.
UUCCCAGCUCCGACGGAAUGG